AUACUCCGGUUUCUCUUCAGAUCAUAUAAAUCUUUUGCCUUUUACUAAAUAUUUGUAUGGAUAGGAACAGCUCUGAGUUUUUAAUAUUGUGAGACCUUGCAUUGGCAGGGGU
Molecule: small nuclear RNA, 112 nt
Organism: Macaca nemestrina (pig-tailed macaque)
Lineage: Eukaryota; Metazoa; Chordata; Mammalia; Primates; Cercopithecidae
Gene: U5
Rfam family: U5 spliceosomal RNA
About the family: U5 RNA is a component of both types of known spliceosome. The precise function of this molecule is unknown, though it is known that the 5' loop is required for splice site selection and p220 binding, and that both the 3' stem-loop and the Sm site are important for Sm protein binding and cap methylation.
Source: Ensembl